UACCCGACUCGGAGAAAGUCGGGAAAAAAUUCAUAGCCCUAACCCUAUCCCAAACCCAAACACAAACCCUAGCGAGUUCUCCACCGCUCUUUCUCUCUGUGGCAGCCAUGUCGCACUUCGGACGAUCCGGUCCUCCGGACAUCAGAGAUACCUAUUCUUUACUCGUUCUCAACAUCACUUUCCGCACCACCGCAGAUGAUCUGUUCCCGCUUUUCGACAAGUACGGGAAAGUCGUUGAUGUAUUCAUCCCCAGAGAUCGAAGGACCGGUGACUCGAGGGGAUUUGCAUUUGUUCGUUAUAAGUAUGCGGAUGAGGCCCAGAAGGCGGUAGAAAAGCUUGACGGAAGGAACGUGGAUGGAAGAGAAAUUAUGGUUCAAUUUGCCAAGUAUGGUCCCAACGCAGAGCGAAUUCAUAAAGGGAGGAUAAUAGAAACAUCUUCAAAAUCAAAAGGCAGGUCAAGAAGCCGCAGUCCUCGGCCAAGGCAUCGGGAUGAAUACAGGGACAGGGAUUACAGGAAGAGAAGUCGCAGCAGAAGUAGAGGCAGAAACGAUCGUGACAGGUACCGUGGGAAGGAAAGAGAUAGUCGCCGUCGGAGCAGAAGCCGCAGUGCAAGUCCUGAUCAUCACAAGGAUCGUGGGAGAGGCAGAUAUGAUGAUGAGCGGCGUAGUCGCAGCCGGUCAUAUGGAAGUGCCUCUCCUGCCCGGCGUAGCCCCAGUCCUCGAGGGAGCCCCUCUCCACGCAGAACACCACCUUCCAGGGAAGAAAGUCCUGUUGGACGCAAGAGAAAUGAACGUUCACCUACUCCGAAAAGUGUCUCACCCCGUGGUCGACCUGCUGAUUCUCGAAGUCCAUCUCCACAUAAUUCUGACGCUGAUGAAUGAUGGAGUAGCAUAUGGAGAAAUCUUUGGUUUGAUGUACCGUGUGUAGCUGCAUUCAUAAUGGAGGACAUUUUGGAAUUUGCAUGUUAUCAUCAAAUUAUUGAAUGCUAGAUUUGAUCAUCCUGGACGUAUUUUGAAGGUUAACCAUUUCUUUGUUGGACUUGAUGCAUACCUGCACUUAUCUUGAUGUUUUGUUCGUGAAGAGUGAAUCUGGCUGAUUGGCAAGUUGUUGUAGCAGCUGUUGAUGCUGUUUUUACUUCACAGAUGGUUGAUGUCAUUCCAUCCUGGUUGCACAUACAUUAUCUUUAACAAUUUUUCUCUGGUGAUAUCAUGAUUGGAGGUUUAGUCGCUGUGAUGACCUAAAGAUGAUUGGAUUCCACGUGCCUUUACCUGUAGCUGGCAGUUAACUGCACCAGACAUUCCGUUAAGCUGUUACUAAAUUGAAACCUGCUAUGCUGUGCUGAACAUUGUUACCAUGAGGCUUGACAUGCACAUGAGGUCGUGGCUAUAGCUGUGAAGUGAUAGCUGAUAGCUUCGCAGAACAGUUGUUGCUGCAGUACUUGCUGAUAGCAUUUGAAUUUGGUGCUACUGUGUUUGGUGUUGAUGAGUGAUCCCUGAUUUUGGUAGCUGUGUUGCAGCUGGAUCCAGUGGUCCUGCUUUGUUUCUUUGCCAUCCAGUUAUUUCUUGUGGAGGUUUUUUUCAUUAUAUUUUCGGUUUUCAUUUACUUUAGUUGCAUCAACUUUUCUUACUUGUGGUUCUGCUUUGUUUAUAUGGAGUCCUGUUUUUAGCGGAGCUUGAAUUAUAUCAUUUGUUUUGUGCUUUAAUUGCAUUGAAGUGGAUUUCCUUACAAUUUUUUA
Molecule: RNA transcript, 1735 nt
Organism: Vitis vinifera (wine grape)
Lineage: Eukaryota; Viridiplantae; Streptophyta; Magnoliopsida; Vitales; Vitaceae
Gene name: serine/arginine-rich splicing factor SC35
Exons: 11
Source: RefSeq, a predicted model, not a curated record